Molecule: small nuclear RNA, 103 nt
Organism: Salvia splendens (bonfire salvia)
Lineage: Eukaryota; Viridiplantae; Streptophyta; Magnoliopsida; Lamiales; Lamiaceae
Source: RefSeq, a predicted model, not a curated record
GAGUUCAUUCGAAUAUAUCCAACAAAUUGAAACGAUAUAGAAAAAAUUAACAUGUCUCAUGCACAAGAUGACAUGCAUAAAUAGAUAAAUAUACUAUUAUUCG